RNAcentral lists this ribosomal RNA (742 nucleotides) under uncultured eukaryote. RNAcentral's name for it is "SSU rRNA". It matches the Rfam family "Eukaryotic small subunit ribosomal RNA", at positions 1037 to 1800 of the family's 1831-position model. The record is from RNAcentral.
CGAUGACACCAGCGAUUAAUCGGCGUUAAUAUAUGACCCGAUUAGCAGCUUCCGGGAAACCAAAGUUUUUCGUUUCCGGGGGAAGUAUGGUUGCAAAGCUGAAACUUAAAGGAAUUGACGGAAGGGCACCACCAGGAGUGGAGCCUGCGGCUUAAUUUGACUCAACACGGGAAAACUCACCCGGCCCGGACACCGUAAGGAUUGACAGACUGAGAGCUCUUUUUUAAUUCGGUGGGUGGUGGUGCAUGGCCGUUCUUAGUUGGUGGAGCGAUUUGUCUGGUUAAUUCCGAUAACGAACGAGACUCUGGCCUAUUAAAUAGUCGGUAUAUCCAGAAAAGUUUACCGUACUUCUUAGAGGGACAAACGGCGUCUAGCCGCGUGAAAUAGAGCAAUAACAGGUCUGUGAUGCCCUUAGAUGUCCGGGGCUGCACGCGCGCUACACUGAAAGAAUCAGUAUGCGCUUUAACCUAGUCCGGAAGGAUUGGGUAACCCGAGCAAAUUCUUUCGUGCUUGGGAUAGGGAAUUGCAAUUAUUUCCCUUAAACGAGGAAUUCCCAGUAAAUGCGGGUCAUAAGCUCGCGUUGAUUACGUCCCUGCCCUUUGUACACACCGCCCGUCGCUACUACCGAUUGGAUGACUUAGUGAGGUCUUAGGACCGACGUAAAGGAGCUUUCGCGAGUUCUUUUUCGUUGGAAAUUUGAUCGAACUACGUUAUCUAGAGGAAGCAAAAGUCGUAACAAGGU